CCUACGGGAGGCAGCAGUGGGGAAUCUUGCGCAAUGGGCGAAAGCCUGACGCAGCCAUGCCGCGUGAAUGAUGAAGGUCUUAGGAUUGUAAAAUUCUUUCACCGGGGACGAUAAUGACGGUACCCGGAGAAGAAGCCCCGGCUAACUUCGUGCCAGCAGCCGCGGUAAUACGAAGGGGGCUAGCGUUGCUCGGAAUUACUGGGCGUAAAGGGAGCGUAGGCGGAUAGUUUAGUCAGAGGUGAAAGCCCAGGGCUCAACCUUGGAAUUGCCUUUGAUACUGGCUAUCUUGAGUAUGGGAGAGGUUAGCGGAACUCCGAGUGUAGAGGUGAAAUUCGUAGAUAUUCGGAAGAACACCAGUGGCGAAGGCGGCUAACUGGCCCAUUACUGACGCUGAGGCUCGAAAGCGUGGGGAGCAAACAGGAUUAGAUACCCUGGUAGUCCACGCCGUAAACGAUGAGUGCUAGUUGUCGGCAUGCAUGCAUGUCGGUGACGCAGCUAACGCAUUAAGCACUCCGCCUGGGGGAGGUACGGUCGCGAGAAUAAACUACAAUAGAAGUUAGACGGCGUGAGACGUGCCGAACGGACGACCGACGAGGGAGGUAGG
This 604-nucleotide ribosomal RNA is filed under the name uncultured bacterium. RNAcentral's name for it is "bacterial SSU rRNA". The stretch from base 1 to 517 matches the Rfam family "Bacterial small subunit ribosomal RNA", at positions 338 to 873 of the family's 1533-position model. The record is from RNAcentral.